RNAcentral lists this ribosomal RNA (429 nucleotides) under Acidobacteriota bacterium. RNAcentral describes it as "Acidobacteria bacterium partial 16S ribosomal RNA". It matches the Rfam family "Bacterial small subunit ribosomal RNA", at positions 355 to 776 of the family's 1533-position model. Lineage: Bacteria; Pseudomonadati; Acidobacteriota. The record is from RNAcentral.
UGGGGAAUUUUGGACAAUGGGGGAAACCCUGAUCCAGCCAUCCCGCGUGUGCGAUGAAGGCCUUCGGGUUGUAAAGCACUUUUGGCAGGAAAGAAACGUCAUGGGUUAAUACCCCGUGAAACUGACGGUACCUGCAGAAUAAGCACCGGCUAACUACGUGCCAGCAGCCGCGGUAAUACGGAGGGUGCAAGCGUUAAUCGGAAUUACUGGGCGUAAAGCGUGCGCAGGCGGUUCGGAAAGAAAGAUGUGAAAUCCCAGAGCUCAACUUAGGAACUGCAUUUUUAACUACCGGGCUAGAGUGUGUCAGAGGGAGGUGGAAUUCCGCGGGUAGCAGUGAAAUGCGUAGAUAUGCGGAGGAACACCGAUGGCGAAGGCAGCCUCCUGGGAUAACACUGACGCUCAUGCACGAAAGCGUGGGGAGCAAACAGG